Molecule: small RNA, 28 nt
Filed under: Bombyx mori (domestic silkworm)
Lineage: Eukaryota; Metazoa; Arthropoda; Insecta; Lepidoptera; Bombycidae
Description: ovarian small RNA-36550
Source: RNAcentral
UUACGGCCAGGACAUCGGCGCGGGCCUA